Long non-coding RNA from Rhea pennata, 547 nucleotides. RefSeq lists it as uncharacterized. The transcript has 2 exons. Lineage: Eukaryota; Metazoa; Chordata; Aves; Rheiformes; Rheidae. The record is from RefSeq and is a predicted model, not a curated record.
CGACGGCAACAAAGUGGUGACCCCGACGUGAUAGGGUGAGGGUGGUCGCCGGGGCGACGGGGGUGGCGCUAGACAGACGAUGGAAGCAGUGAUUAAGGUUCCGUAAGGAGGAAAUACGUUCUUGUGACCGGCUGAUAUCAUGAGAGCAGCAUCGCGGGAAAGAGAAUGAUGCCGAGUUCACAAGGAUUGGGAGUUGCUAUGCACGCUUAGCUUUGCUUUAGGGCUUUCACACUGGCUUGAGAAUUACAAGGCUGCAGCCCGCUUACAGCACUGGCAUCCCUGGCUUUGCCGCAUGUGUACGCAGCUUGCGGCGUACAAUUAAUGAGUUACGGCGUCCUCACUCUGGGUAUCAACGUCUCCUGAUGAUUCAAGAAACAACAACUGUAUUGUAGCAUGGAGAGGGGGACUUGUGGUAGGCGACACGGGGCGCUGCGGAAGAUCACGGGAUGUGACGUCCUGACGAGGCAGGGUUAAGACAGGAAAAGACAGUGCGAGCGCGUAUAUAAAGAAUUAUAACGACGCAAUAAACGCCAUUUGCCGCAUCCUC